GUGUAAUCUGGGGUAUCAAGGGCGGAAUUCUGGAUGGCAAAUCAAGUGAACUUUCGUCGCCAGUCGAUCCAGAAGUUUCUGUUUGUUCGGAUUGUGUAAUCUGGGGUAUCAAGGGCGGAAUUCUGGAUGGCAAAUCAAAUGAACUGUCGUCGCCAGUCGAUCCAGAAGUUUCUGUGUGUCCGGAUUGUGUAAUCUGGGGUAUCAAGGGCGGAAUUCUGGAUGGCAAAUCGAAUGAACUUUCGUCGCCAGUCGAUCCAGAAGUUUCUGUUUGUCCGGAUUGUGUAAUCUGGGGUAUCAAGGGUGGGAUUCUGAAUGGCAAAUCAAGUGAACUUUCGUCGUCAGUCGAUUUAGAAGUUUCUGUUUGAACGUUCAGUGUAAUCUGGGGUAUCAAGGGCGGAAUUCUUGGUGGUACGUCGAAUGAACUUCCAUCGUCAGCCGUAGCUGAAUUUUGAGUUUCCAAAAUAAUUUCGGGUUGAGAAUUUUGAGGAAUCAACGGUGGAAUCUCAAAAGGGGAUUGAGAAGUUUCCAUUCGAUCAGUUGCAUCUGUUACUCCAGAUUGCGGAAUUUGAGGUA
RNAcentral lists this unclassified non-coding RNA (573 nucleotides) under Athalia rosae (coleseed sawfly). RNAcentral describes it as "misc RNA ENSAEAG00005001212.1". The record is from RNAcentral. Lineage: Eukaryota; Metazoa; Arthropoda; Insecta; Hymenoptera; Athaliidae.